GGUCGAAUGGUGUAGUGGUUAUCACGUGACUUUCACAUUGGUGUAUCCAGUCAAGGUCCUGAGUUCGAUCCUCAGUUCGAUCA
Arachnomyces sp. PD_36 is the source of this 83-nucleotide non-coding RNA. The record is from the annotation of a GenBank genome assembly. Lineage: Eukaryota; Fungi; Ascomycota; Eurotiomycetes; Onygenales; Arachnomycetaceae.